Molecule: small nucleolar RNA, 127 nt
Organism: Meriones unguiculatus (Mongolian gerbil)
Lineage: Eukaryota; Metazoa; Chordata; Mammalia; Rodentia; Muridae
Source: Ensembl
CCUAUCCCAAGAGGCAUCUCAGGUAUGGCUGCAUCAUCACAUGUGCCUCAGCAGAUGGCAGAGAGGAGAGCAGUUAUGUCUAUGCUAAGAGUUAUGACCUGUGAACAUGUGCAGGUAGCUAAAAAUU